AAAAAGAAAAACCCUGGUUUCCGUGUUUAACGUUUGAUUGUCUGUCUUAUUUGAAAAAAUUAUAAAAAAAUAAAUAGACAAAUCACGCAUAAAAUAUUAAUCAUGUUUUAUUAUCUAACAACAAUGAAAAUACAAAUUAUAAAAAAAUUUUAUAUAAAACUGACAGCUAAAGUUGGACACGAAAAUCUAGAGUUUGCUUUUUU
Non-coding RNA from Oryza barthii, 203 nucleotides. NCBI's taxonomy places the organism in Eukaryota, Viridiplantae, Streptophyta, Magnoliopsida, Poales, Poaceae. The record is from Rfam.